RNAcentral lists this ribosomal RNA (440 nucleotides) under uncultured bacterium. RNAcentral's name for it is "partial 16S ribosomal RNA". It matches the Rfam family "Bacterial small subunit ribosomal RNA", at positions 339 to 795 of the family's 1533-position model. The record is from RNAcentral.
CUACGGGGUGCAGCAGCAGGGAAUAUUGCACAAUGGACGGAAGUCUGAUGCAGCGACGCCGCGUGGAUGAUGAAGGCCCUCGGGUUGUAAAAUCCUUUUCAGGGGGACGAGGAAGGACGGUACCCUUGGAAUAAGCGUCGGCUAACUACGUGCCAGCAGCCGCGGUAAGACGUAGGACGCAAGCGUUAUCCGGAUUUACUGGGCGUAAAGCGUCUGUAGGCGGAAUGGUAAGUUGGACGUGAAAGCUCCGGGCUCAACUCGGAGAGGUCGUUCAAUACUGCCAAACUAGAGGGCAUCAGAGGAGCGUGGAAUUUCCGGUGUAGCGGUAAAAUGCGCAGAUAUCGGAAGGAACACCAAUGGCGAAGGCAGCGCUCUGGGAUGAACCUGACGCUAAGAGACGAAAGCUAGGGGAGCGAACAGGAUUAGAUACCCGUGUAGUC